CAUUGCCUUGCAUUAGUCUGGAGAGAGAUGACAAUGGAUCCUAUCUAGCUUUGCAACCAAGGUAUGAUCUCUCACACACAACCCAUCUCUUCAUUUAAUUUUCAUGUUCCGUUCUUAUAUUGAAAUUCUUAACCAAGGUAUAUAUGAUCUCACUCAACUCAUCUCUUCAUUUUUAACAUGUAUUUUACAGGAACGAACGAACUACAAAAAGGUGUAAGUAACAUAGAAAUGGAACACUCAUUUGAGCAAGAAAAGAACAGCAACUUAUGUGGAUAAAAGGUUGGCCUUGUGAAGGGUUGAAGAGCCUCAGUCUCGAACUUUGAGGGAGAGGGAUCAGGAUACCCGGGACAACCUUCCCUACAAGCUGCUACCAGAUGAUUGCUUGAGGAAAAGAAUGUGCUUCAAUAUCAGUUGGACUUUUAACUUUUGUCUAACUAGGAAUUGAGAGUACAAAUUGGUAAAAGAUAACCAUAAAGGAGGUAAACGGCUGGUGAAUCAUAGUUGAUUUUAACUGGCUUAUCAAAAAAAAAUAGUUGAUUAUAACUGUUAUUAAUUUAUAAGGAGAUCUAAGUAUGUAUGCAAACAUCUUAGGAUUGUGGUAAACAGACAUAUCCUAGCUCAUCAGCUAGUUUCACUUUUUGAAUUCGACAUAAAAUUUCAUAUUUUGACCACAUAUAAUUCCACUCUUACAUGUCUUCCUCAAUAAUACAUUUUGAUGGCAUAUAAACCCAUUAGCUCAAGUCAUAUUUUUUUACUCCCAUCUUAGGGCGCAGAACAUAAAUUUUAUUUGAAUGAUCUCAAAUUCCCAAUCUUACUAGCUAAAAUUAAUCUUACUAACACAAAUCAGCUAAUCAACAAAUUACUCAUUAGCAAUCCGCUAGCUUCCCAACUUGUGUUUUAUUUUUUGUCCUACCAAUAUAAUUUUAAUAUGUCAAUUAAAAAUUAUCAUGUAAAUUUGUAACUAACUACUCAUGUCCCAUGGUAAGAUUUCAUUAGUGGGACAUGAAAUUGGAAUAAUGUAGAAGGACACAAUAUAUUGAUUCAUUUAGGAGAUGCACUCAGCUAAUACAUUGAUAAUUAAUUAGCACAUCUACUAAAGUGUCAAUUAUUGAUACAAAUAAUUCACCUAACUUACUAAAUUAAGCAAAAAAAAUCCUUCUAAUUAGUGAUAAAAUCUCUCUAAGUUGAGGAAGACUAGGUAUUUGAUUGUUAUGUGGCCCCAUUUACAGUCCAGCCUAUGAUGUUAAUUUGUUAAUUGUCAUUGAAAAUGGAAAGGAAUUCCUUGCUCUUUUUCUUUCUUUCAUCAUUUUCUUUGUUAGUUUCAAAAAAAUAAAAUCAAUUUGUUUGUCAUUAUUGUUCCUAAGUCAUUUUUUUCUUUUUUGUUUUGGUCAAAGAUAGAUGGAUAGCGACAGACGGGGGAAUCUGCGGUUGAAGCUCUCUUUUGCCACGAAUGAAAUGGUAUCCAAAGCCCCCUAAGAAUGACAGUCAAUGGUCCCACAAAGUGGUAUCCCACCAGAAUCUUCAGCACAAAAAUAAUCAUGCAGAGAUGUUUCAAUAUGAACAAUGUUGGAAUAACAAUUCUUUUCUUGCUUACCAAAAAAAAGACUUUGGGUUAGGAUAAAGAGAAGAGAAAGAAAUGAGUGAUAUAUUGAUAUAGUAUAUGAUGUAAUAAAAAAUACCGCAAAAAAUAUGAAAAAAAAAACAUGUGAAAUUGAGAUGUAAGAGAAAUUGAAAUGCAUGUGAACAUAUCAUUACUCUUUAAAUUUUGAUUGAAUUCAGUGAUCCAUAUUCAUUCUUUUAUGAAAUCACUUUGUUUUAGUAUAAAUUAACAACCGCCUGACCACCUCUCUAUCAUGUUCCCUACUUCCCUCUUUAAUUAAGUCAUGAAUGCAAGAUUCGCUAAUGAUGUAGAAAUAAACAAAUAUUGUAUACUCAUGCAAGUGUUGUAGGGUAGAACUUGUGCUUUAACUGAAUUAAAUGGUUUACUCUGCAAAAGGUUUUUUUUUUUUU
Molecule: long non-coding RNA, 2010 nt
Filed under: Lotus japonicus
Lineage: Eukaryota; Viridiplantae; Streptophyta; Magnoliopsida; Fabales; Fabaceae
Description: long non-coding RNA (LJAP_LNC001378)
Source: RNAcentral